UACGGAGGAUGCGAGCGUUAUCCGGAUUUAUUGGGUUUAAAGGGUGCGUAGGCGGGCAUUUAAGCCGGCGGUCAAAUGUCGGGGCUCAACCCCGGGACUGCAUUUGGAACUGUGUAGCUGGAGUGUCGGAGAGGCAGGCGGAAUUCCUAGUGUAGCGGUGAAAUGCGUAGAUAUUAGGAGGAACACCAGUGGCGAAGGCGGCCUGCUGGACGAUGACUGACGUUGAGGCUCGAAAGCGUGGGGAGCAAACAGG
This 253-nucleotide ribosomal RNA is filed under the name uncultured Blautia sp. RNAcentral's name for it is "partial 16S ribosomal RNA". It matches the Rfam family "Bacterial small subunit ribosomal RNA", at positions 524 to 776 of the family's 1533-position model. The record is from RNAcentral. Lineage: Bacteria; Bacillati; Bacillota; Clostridia; Lachnospirales; Lachnospiraceae.